This 441-nucleotide ribosomal RNA is filed under the name uncultured bacterium. RNAcentral's name for it is "partial 16S ribosomal RNA". It matches the Rfam family "Bacterial small subunit ribosomal RNA", at positions 338 to 795 of the family's 1533-position model. The record is from RNAcentral.
CCUACGGGUGGCUGCAGUGGGGAAUAUUGCGCAAUGGGCGCAAGCCUGACGCAGCCACGCAGCGUGCUUGAAGAAGGCCUUCGGGUUGUAAAGAUCUUUUAUCGGGGACGAAUUUUGACGGUACCCGAAGAAUAAGCACCGGCUAACUACGUGCCAGCAGCCGCGGUAAUACGUAGGGAGCAAGCGUUAUCCGGAUUUACUGGGUGUAAAGGGCGUGUAGGCGGGGAUGCAAGCCAGAAGUGAAAUCUGGGGGCUUAAACCCCGAACUGCUUUUGGACCUGGGCGUCUUGAGUGAUGGAGAGGCAGGCGGAAUUCCCAGUGUAGCGGUGAAAUGCGUAGAUAUUGGGAGGAACACCAGUGGCGAAGGCAGCCUGCUGGACAUUAACUGACGCUGAGGCGCGAAAGCGUGGGGAGCAAACAGGAUUAGAUACCCCAGUAGUC